Molecule: small RNA, 697 nt
Filed under: Cryptococcus neoformans H99
Lineage: Eukaryota; Fungi; Basidiomycota; Tremellomycetes; Tremellales; Cryptococcaceae
Description: Cryptococcus neoformans var. grubii H99 hypothetical RNA
Source: RNAcentral
AGCUCUCCGUUCUCUUUCAAUCUGCAUUCUCAUCUCCGCACUCAGCCCGGCCAGCCCCUCGGCUGAACCCCCACCCAACUUCUGCGGACCGCUCACACCCAACCUCGUCGGUUUCUCCCUCUCUCGCUUCUCCGUCUCCAAUCGUUUCUCCUCCUCUUCUUGCGCUUCUCUCGCCUCUGCCUCCUGUCUAGCCUUCUCCCUCUCCUUGAGCUUUUCCUUCAACCCCUUUCUCCUUCCGGCUUUCUUCUCCCUUUGCUCUGCCUCCAUUUCCUCGCUCAGUCCUGGUGGCACGCGCGCUGCUUUCCAGUCCCACAGGUCUGGAUUGUCGUAUGCGACUUUACGGUAGAUAUCUCUAAUAACUUUGGAUGAGGCGAGGUCGUAUGGGCGUUUUAACACGUCACCAGGGACGGCGAGGGUGGGGUUGAAUUUAAGUUCGGAGAGGAAAUAUGUUAAGACUUCAGGUUGAGAUGACGAUGACGCGGCGGAGAGAAGAUAAGGUUGUGUGUACUGGGAUUGUUCUUCGGGAGAAAGGGAAGACAAUGCUGGAGGGCUAAAUAGAAAUUCUUCGCUGUACUUUUCCCAGAAAGGUUUCAACGCAUUGAUACGUCCUUUCCGUACCAUUUCAUCCAAUCUCUUCCAUCUGUCCAAUCUCGCCUCUUCCUCCGCCGAAAUCUUUGGUGCUAAUGGCUUGACUUCC